Molecule: non-coding RNA, 702 nt
Filed under: Pan troglodytes (chimpanzee)
Lineage: Eukaryota; Metazoa; Chordata; Mammalia; Primates; Hominidae
Source: RNAcentral
CCAACGACCAAAGCAAAGGACAGCAGAACUGACUGACACAUUGCUCAGAAAAUAUCCAAAGCUCUGGUCUUGCUCUGUCACCCACACUGGAGUGCAAUGCCACCAUCUUGGCUCACUGCAGCCUUGACCUCCUUGGGCUUAAGUGAUCCUCCUGCUUCAGCCUCCCAUGUAGCUGGGACUACAGGUGUGCACCACCACACCAGCUAAUUUUUUUUUUUUUUUUUUGAGACAGAAUCUUGCUCUGUCACCCAGGCUACAGUGCAGUGGUGCAAUCUCGGCUCACUGCAAGCUCUGCCUCCCAGGUUCAAGCAAUUCUUCUGCCUCAGCCUCCCAAGUAGCUGGGACUACAGGAACCCACCACCAUGCCCAGCUAAUUUUUGUAUUUUUAGUAGAGAUGGGGUUUCACCAUAUUGGCCAGGCUGGUCUUGAACUCCUGACUUCAUGAUCCGCCCGCCUCCACCUCCCAAAGUGCUGGGAUUACAGGUGUGAGCCACCGUGCCCGGGCCCACACCAGCUAAUUUUUAACUGGGCUCAAGUGAUCCUCCCAUCUCAGCCUCACAAAGUGCUGGAAUUCCAGGCAUGAGCCACCGCACCCAGCAUGAAGCACAGAUUCUUGAACUGGUUUGUCGUGGCAGUUGGUGCUGAUCACUCUAAUGAAUACAGCUUGCCUGUGCCAUGAUCUCAAUCUGGGGCACCAGUUAA